UACGGAGGGGGAUAGCGUUGUUCGGAAUUACUGGGCGAAAAGGGCGCGUAGGCGGUCUUGUAAGUCAGAUGUGAAAGCCCCGGGCUCAACCCGCGAAUAGCAUUUGAUACUGCGAGGCUUGAGUCCGGGAGAGGAUGGCGGAAUUACCAGCGUAGAGGUGAAAUUCGUAGAUAUUGGGAAGAACACCGGUGGCGAAGGCGGCCAUCUGGACCGGUACUGACGCUGAGGCGCAAAAGCGUGGGGAGCAAACAGG
This 253-nucleotide ribosomal RNA is filed under the name uncultured bacterium. RNAcentral's name for it is "partial 16S ribosomal RNA". It matches the Rfam family "Bacterial small subunit ribosomal RNA", at positions 524 to 776 of the family's 1533-position model. The record is from RNAcentral.